Molecule: long non-coding RNA, 1183 nt
Filed under: Malus domestica (apple)
Lineage: Eukaryota; Viridiplantae; Streptophyta; Magnoliopsida; Rosales; Rosaceae
Description: long non-coding RNA (MDOM_LNC019204)
Source: RNAcentral
UUAGGGGCGUUGGACCCAACUACUUCAUUUUCAUGCAUAUCAAAUAAAGCAAGAAAGAAGUACUUCAAAGUAAAUGUGAGCUUAUGCUCAUUACAACAUUUGCAUAAAUCAAAUUACUUCAAAUUACAACCAAAAUCUAAUCUACACAUUCUCAUGGUUCAAACAAAUUUGAAACGGCCUAUCACAUAGCUCAAUUAUCGUAGGCUUAGGUUCAUAAUAACCCUUUAAUUAAUUAACACUUUAACUAAUUAAAUUGAAUGCAACAUUUUCAUUUGGUUUUUGUAUCAAUAAGAUUGAUUUAAAUGGAGCUAAAUGAAAUGAAAAUCCAAUUCUCAUUUAAAGAGACAAAACAAUUUUGUUCUCAACCUAAUUUGGGCCAUCAUGCAAUAACCACAACUUUUUGGGCUAUAUUGCGAAAACAUAAACUUUUGGGGUCACUUUGUAAAAACACAAAAGUCCACUACUUCAUGUAAUUACAACUAGAACCCAAAAUUUAAACAAUGCAAAAACUUCAUUAAAGGAGCAAAACAAUUUGUCCUUUAGCGUUUUUGGACCCAAACAUAAAAACUUAAACUUUUGGGCCAAAGUGCAAAUACACAAAAGUAUCAAAACUUUAUGUAAUUGCAUAAAAGCCCCAAAAGUACUCUCACUUGAGGGAGGGCCGGUUUUGGAUAGGAGAAAUGAGUGAUGUGUGUGUUCAUUGCUAAGUUAGACAUAAAGCAUGCAAGUGGUGCAAGUGAAAGGGAAUUAAUCAUUUCACACCCACCAUUAUUUCUAUCACCAUUUAAACAAAUAUCUAACACAUUAAAUCAUUUGAAAAAACAUAAAACAUAAACUUUAUGAAAUAAAUCAAAACUUUGAAUCAAAACACAAAACUUUUUGUUCUUGGCAAAAAUGUCAAGAACAAUGAAGAACAUUCAUGAAAAACCCAAAAAAUUUCCAUGAACAUUUUUACUCCAAAAAACAUCCCAAAACCAUUCAAACUUUAGGGAAAUAACACAUAACCAAACUAGGGUACAUAGGGGUUCCAAAAGUUACUUGAAAACACUUUUAACAAGUCAAACAAGAACCCAAAAAUCCACCCUUUGGAUUUGGCCGAAAAUUCCCAAAAACAUGGCACCAAAUUUUAGCUCCAAUAUUCAUGCUCAUAAGAACUACAUCUACAACAUUUGAGAUGGCAAAU